UACGGGGGGGGCAAGCGUUGUUCGGAAUUACUGGGCGUAAAGGGCUCGUAGGCGGCCAACUAAGUCGUACGUGAAAUCCCUCGGCUUAACCGGGGAACUGCGUCUGAUACUGGAUGGCUUGAGAUUGGGAGAGGGAUGCGGAAUUCCAGGUGUAGCGGUGAAAUGCGUAGAUAUCUGGAGGAACACCGGUGGCGAAGGCGGCAUCCUGGACCAACACUGACGCUGAGGAGCGAAAGCCAGGGGAGCAAACGGG
RNAcentral lists this ribosomal RNA (253 nucleotides) under uncultured bacterium. RNAcentral's name for it is "partial 16S ribosomal RNA". It matches the Rfam family "Bacterial small subunit ribosomal RNA", at positions 524 to 776 of the family's 1533-position model. The record is from RNAcentral.